UUUUAUCAUCUUCAAUUGGCCCUCUCUCCACCUUCUUUCUCCAUAGCCAUGCUCCCCAUGGCGGCUAGCAUAGCUACUUGCUCCUUGAGCACUCCUAUACUCUCCUCUUUUUUCUUCUUCUCUCCACCAACUCUCUUUCUUUUCUUCUCUUCUCUUUUCUUCUCUUUUCUUUUCUUCUCUUUUCCUUUCUUCUCGAUCCUCCACUU
RNAcentral lists this long non-coding RNA (206 nucleotides) under Phoenix dactylifera (date palm). Its description in RNAcentral is "long non-coding RNA (PDAC_LNC001513)". Lineage: Eukaryota; Viridiplantae; Streptophyta; Magnoliopsida; Arecales; Arecaceae. The record is from RNAcentral.